CCUACGGGGGGCAGCAGUGGGGGAUAUUGCACAAUGGGGGAAACCCUGAUGCAGCGACGCCGCGUGUGGGAAGACGGUCCUCUGGAUUGUAAACCACUUUUCUCAGGGACGAAGAUGACGGUACCUGGGGAGGAAGCUCCGGCAAACUACGUGCCAGCAGCCGCGGUAAUACGUAGGGAGCAAGCGUUGUCCGGAAUUACGGGGUGUAAAGGGAGCGUAGGCGGGUUGGCAAGUUGGGGGUUAAAUCUACCGGCUCAACUGGUAGUCGCACUCGAAACUGCUAUUCUUGAGUGAAGUAGAGGCAGGCGGAAUUCCUAGUGUAGCGGUGAAAUGCGUAGAUAUUAGGAGGAACACCAGUGGCGAAGGCGGCCUGCUGGGCUUUUACUGACGCUGAGGCUCGAAAGUGUGGGGAGCGAACAGGAUUAGAUACCCGUGUAGUC
This 440-nucleotide ribosomal RNA is filed under the name uncultured bacterium. RNAcentral's name for it is "partial 16S ribosomal RNA". It matches the Rfam family "Bacterial small subunit ribosomal RNA", at positions 338 to 795 of the family's 1533-position model. The record is from RNAcentral.